This 1334-nucleotide ribosomal RNA is filed under the name uncultured bacterium. Its description in RNAcentral is "bacterial SSU rRNA". It matches the Rfam family "Bacterial small subunit ribosomal RNA", at positions 28 to 1368 of the family's 1533-position model. The record is from RNAcentral.
GAUAAACGCUGGCGGCGCACAUAAGACAUGCUUUUCGAACGAACUUAAUACAUUCUUUUAGAUUGUAAGCGGUUAGUGGCGGACUGGUGAGUAACGCGUGAGUAACCUGCCUAUUAGAGGGGAAUAACAGUGAGAAAUCAUUGCUAAUACCGCAUAUGCUCACAGUAUCGCAUGAUACAGUGAGGAAAGGAGCAAUCCACUAAUAGAUGGACUCGCGUCUGAUUAGCUAGUUGGUGAGGUAGAAGCUUACCAAGGCGACGAUCAGUAGCCGGACUGAGAGGUUGAACGGCCACAUUGGGACUGAGAUACGGCCCAGACUCCUACGGGAGGCAGCAGUCGGGAAUAUUGCGCAAUGGAGGAAACUCUGACGCAGUGACGCCGCGUAUAGGAAGAAGGUUUUCGGAUUGUAAACUAUUGUCGUUAGGGAAGAAAAAAGACAGUACCUAAGGAGGAAGCCCCGGCUAACUAUGUGCCAGCAGCCGCGGUAAUACAUAGGGGGCAAGCGUUAUCCGGAAUUAUUGGGUGUAAAGGGUGCGUAGACGGGUGUCUAAGUUGGUUGUGAAAUCCCUCGGCUCAACUGAGGAACUGCAACCAAAACUGGAUAUCUUGAGUGUCGGAGAGGAAAGUGGAAUUCCUAGUGUAUCGGUGAAAUGCGUAGAUAUUAGGAAGAACCCCAGUGGCGAAAGCAACUUUCUGGACGAUAACUGACGUUGACGCCCGAAAGUGUGGGGAGCAAACAGGAUUAAAUUCCCUGGUUAUCCCCAACUGAAAAACUAUGGAUACUAGGUGUAGGGGUGUUUAAGCACCUCUGUGCCGCCGCAAACGCAUUAAGUAUCCCUCCUGGGGAGUGCGGCCGCAAGGUUGAAACUCAAAGGAAUUGACGGGGGCCCGCACAAGCAGUGGAGUAUGUGGUUUAAUUCGAAGCAACGCGAAGAACCUUACCAGGGCUUGACAUAUAGAGGAAUAUACUAGAGAUAGUAUAGUACUUCGGUACCUCUAUACAGGUGGUGCAUGGUUGUCGUCAGCUCGUGUCGUGAGAUGUUGGGUUAAGUCCCGCAACGAGCGCAACCCCUGUCCUUAGUUGCCAGCACGUAAAGGUGGGAACUCUAAGGAGACUGCCGGUGAUAAAUCGGAGGAAGGUGGGGAUGACGUCAAAUCAUCAUGCCCUUUAUGUCCUGGGCUACACACGUACUACAAUGGCCGUGACAGAGAGAAGCGAAGUAGUGAUGCAGAGCAAAACUCUAAAAGCGGUCUCAGUUCGGAUUGAAGGCUGAAAUUCGCCUUCAUGAAGCUGGAAUUAAUAGUAAUGGCAGGUCAGCAUACUGCCGUGAAUA